This 479-nucleotide ribosomal RNA is filed under the name uncultured bacterium. RNAcentral describes it as "bacterial SSU rRNA". It matches the Rfam family "Bacterial small subunit ribosomal RNA", at positions 28 to 517 of the family's 1533-position model. The record is from RNAcentral.
GACGAACGCUGGCGGCGUGCUUAACACAUGCAAGCCGAACGGUGACGAGUGGAGCUUGCUCUGUUCUGAUCAGUGGCGAACGGGUGAGUAACACGUGAGUAACCUGCCCCCUGACUCUGGAAUAACUUCGGGAACCGAAGCUAAUACCGGAUAUGACACAGAGCCGCAUGGUUUCUGUGUGGAAAGUUUUCGGUUGGGGAUGGACUCGCGGCCUAUCAGCUUGUUGGUGAGGUAAUGGCUCACCAAGGCGACGACGGGUAGCCGGCCUGAGAGGGCGACCGGCCACACUGGGACUGAGACACGGCCCAGACUCCUACGGGAGGCAGCAGUGGGGAAUAUUGCACAAUGGGCGAAAGCCUGAUGCAGCGACGCCGCGUGAGGGAUGAAGGCCUUCGGGUUGUAAACCUCUUUCAGUAGGGAAGAAGCGCAAGUGACGGUACCUACAGAAGAAGCACCGGCUAACUACGUGCCAGCAGCCG